GAGUUUGAUCGUGGCUCAGAUUGAACGCUGGCGGCAUGCCUUACACAUGCAAGUCGAACGGCAGCAUGAUCUAGCUUGCUAGAUUGAUGGCGAGUGGCGAACGGGUGAGUAAUACAUCGGAACGUGCCCUGUAGUGGGGGAUAACUAGUCGAAAGAUUAGCUAAUACCGCAUACGACCUGAGGGUGAAAGUGGGGGACCGCAAGGCCUCAUGCUAUAGGAGCGGCCGAUGUCUGAUUAGCUAGUUGGUGGGGUAAAGGCCCACCAAGGCGACGAUCAGUAGCUGGUCUGAGAGGACGAUCAGCCACACUGGGACUGAGACACGGCCCAGACUCCUACGGGAGGCAGCAGUGGGGAAUUUUGGACAAUGGGCGAAAGCCUGAUCCAGCAAUGCCGCGUGUGUGAAGGAGGCC
This 411-nucleotide ribosomal RNA is filed under the name uncultured microorganism. RNAcentral describes it as "bacterial SSU rRNA". It matches the Rfam family "Bacterial small subunit ribosomal RNA", at positions 9 to 416 of the family's 1533-position model. The record is from RNAcentral.